RNAcentral lists this ribosomal RNA (690 nucleotides) under uncultured Acidobacteriota bacterium. Its description in RNAcentral is "bacterial SSU rRNA". It matches the Rfam family "Bacterial small subunit ribosomal RNA", at positions 16 to 684 of the family's 1533-position model. The record is from RNAcentral. Lineage: Bacteria; Pseudomonadati; Acidobacteriota.
AUCCUGGCUCAGAAUCAACGCUGGCGGCGUGCCUAACACAUGCAAGUCGAGCGCGAAAGGGGAGCAAUCCCCGAGUAGAGCGGCGAACGGGUGAGUAACGCGUGGGUAAUCUACCUUCGAGUGGGGAAUAACCCCGGGAAACUGGGGCUAAUACCGCAUCACAUCGUCGGCUCUUCGGAGCUGACGAUCAAAGCCGGGGACCGAAAGGCCUGGCGCUUGAAGACGAGCCCGCGUCCGAUUAGCUAGUUGGCGGGGUAAUGGCCCACCAAGGCGACGAUCGGCAGCCGGCCUGAGAGGGCGGACGGCCACACUGGGACUGAGACACGGCCCAGACUCCUACGGGAGGCAGCAGUGGGGAAUUUUUCGCAAUGGGGGAAACCCUGACGAAGCAACGCCGCGUGGAGGAUGAAGGCCUUCGGGUCGUAAACUCCUGUCGACCGGGACGAACGCUAUCCGACCCAAUACGUCGGGUAGUCGACUGUACCGGUAGAGGAAGCCACGGCUAACUCUGUGCCAGCAGCCGCGGUAAUACAGAGGUGGCAAGCGUUGUUCGGAAUUACUGGGCGUAAAGGGCGCGUAGGCGGUCUUCUAAGUUCCGUGUGAAAUCCCUCGGCUCAACUGGGGAACUGCACGGAAAACUGGAAGGCUUGAGUUCGGGAGAGGGAAGCGGAAUUCCGGGUGUAGCGGUGA